Molecule: long non-coding RNA, 1107 nt
Filed under: Homo sapiens (human)
Lineage: Eukaryota; Metazoa; Chordata; Mammalia; Primates; Hominidae
Description: HSALNT0258560
Source: RNAcentral
CAUUUGUAACAAAAAGUAACUAGUGUUUUUAUUUUGUUUUGUUUGUCUAGUUGGAGGAAGGCCUUUGAGAGUAUCUUAUUGAAUGAUUGAGACAUUAUUAGCUAUACCAUAUUAGAUACUUGUACCCCUAGCCAGAGCUCAGCUGAGCCUGAAAUCAUAGUUCUGGACUUUUAUCUUAUCUGAAUUGGUCCUGUUUGGAGCGACCAAUCUUACACACACAUUUCAGCUUCAGAUAAAGUCAGAAAACUACAUCAGAAGGGUUAGUUCCGUUUUUGCUCUUCAGAAUUUGAUUGAUUUCCAAACUUACGUACUAAUUCUCUCGUGGGCCUUGCAUUAGGAAGGUUAAACCAAAGUAAAAUAAAACAUUUCUAGGGCUCUGUUUGUCUUCUCAAAAUGGUUAGUGCUGUGAUUGACUCCAGAAUCAGGCUUCAUCCUGGAGCAUCCAAAACUCAGGACCACCGUUUCCCGGGGACUCACGCUCAACCCCCCACACUGGGCCUGUGUACACCCCCAUCCACAGCCUCAGGAAGAAGGACCUUAAAGGUGGUCACAGAAGAAUUUACAAGCUGCUCUUAGGACUGGCUUUGUCUCAGUUGCACAUGAGCCAGAGCCACUUCUCCCAAUCAAAGGCUUCCAAGGAAAAACCAGAACAUGGUAGAUGGAUCUUCGCAACUGCUCCAAGGUCUUCCCCUCCAAAACCACAAAGCAGGCAGGUGAGUAUCCUGGAAUGAGUCCCCAGUGGCCUCCUGGGGGCUUGGAGAGGGGCCUCCAAUUUCCUGGGCAUUAUAUGUGUCAGGGGGUGGUAAUCCCAGCCAGAAGCCUGGCAUUCAGCCCCCAAGUCCUGACAUCUUGUUCUAAUCUACCCUGCCCGCUCAUUACUGGGGCAAUACAAGUCUCCAUCCUUUCCCAUCUGGUCAACACCCCCUCUCCGUCUUGGCCAGAGUAGAUUCUCAGGAACCCAAAUCCGACAACGAAGCUCCCCUGCUAAAAUCUGGAGGUCAAAAGCCUGGGAGAUAAGGGUUCCCCCUUCACCUGCAGUGGCCUUGGCCAUCAGCCCAGCCCUGUCUGCGGAUCCAGCCUUAUCUAGGCCCCACCCUCCCUCACCCC